Molecule: ribosomal RNA, 636 nt
Filed under: uncultured soil bacterium
Lineage: Bacteria
Description: bacterial SSU rRNA
Rfam family: Bacterial small subunit ribosomal RNA
Source: RNAcentral
GCUGGCGGCGUGCUUCACACAUGCAAGUCGAACGGGGAUCCAACUAGUGGCAACACNAGGGAAGAUCUAGUGGCGAACGGGUGCGUAACACGUGAGGAACCUACCCCGGACUCUGGAAUAACAGCGGGAAACCGCUGCUAAUACUGGAUAUCGUCGCACGGUCGCAUGGCCGAGUGACGAAAGAUUUAUCGGUUCGGGACGGUCUCGCGGCCUAUCAGCUUGUUGGCGGGGUAACGGCCCACCAAGGCAUCGACGGGUAGCUGGUCUGAGAGGAUGAUCAGCCACACUGGGACUGAGACACGGCCCAGACUCCUACGGGAGGCAGCAGUGGGGAAUCUUGCGCAAUGGGCGAAAGCCUGACGCAGCAACGCCGCGUGGGGGAUGAAGGCUCUCGGGUUGUAAACCCCUUUCAGCAGGAACGAAAAUGACGGUACCUGCAGAAGAAGGCCCGGCCAACUACGUGCCAGCAGCCGCGGUAAUACGUAGGGGCCAAGCGUUGUCCGGAUUUAUUGGGCGUAAAGAGCUCGUAGGCGGUUUGGAUAGUCGGGUGUGAAAACUCCGAGCUCAACUCGGAGACGCCACCCGAUACUGCCAUGACUAGAGUCCGGUAGGGGAGCAGGGAAUUCCAGGUGUAGC